Molecule: non-coding RNA, 1230 nt
Organism: Manis javanica (Malayan pangolin)
Lineage: Eukaryota; Metazoa; Chordata; Mammalia; Pholidota; Manidae
Source: RefSeq, a predicted model, not a curated record
GCAGAGCCUGUGGUGAGAAGAGCGCAUGGCUGAGGGGCCAAGGGGUGCUGUUUCCUGCUGGUGGGGCAGGAGCAGAGAGGAAGGCCGCUCUGAGGAGGCGGGGGGAGGAGGCACGAGGCCACAGGUGAGGUCUGCAGGGCUGGCCCCACAGGGACGUGGGCCAGCCAAUGCCAAGGCCAGUCUGAGGCCCCCGCCCUCUGCUCCUGAUGACCGGCGUGGAGCCAAAGGCCCCGGGCUCGGCCUUGCCCAUCAGGGAAAUGCCACAUUGCUCUGGAAUGAGGUGAUUCUGAGCAGCGAUGGGAGGAAAUGGGUAUUUAUGUAACGGUGGGCAUGGUUUUUAUUUUCCCUAAUUUUCAGAUUACUUUCGAUUAGUCCUCACUGGAGGAGAAAAGGCUUGAAGUGAAAUAGAUCUAGCCUAAAUCAUUACGGGCCGCCCAGCCUCAGGCCGCCUUUGUGGACAAUUGCCCCGGACCCAGGGUUAGGGGGCGAAGCCUGGCCGGGGCACUUCCUCCGCGCCCACGGGCCGGGAGAGCGCAGGGCUCUCGGCACCGGCCCUCCGCGCUCCUGCCGACACACAGCGGCCAUUCAUUCCUCCACCCCUCCGGCCGGAGGGGCCCGGGGGAGGGAGGGGGAGAGCGGUUCUCGCCGACAUCUGGACUCUAUCUCCUCUCCCCGCCCCCAACCCGGCACAGGGAGGGGGGUGGGGGAGGGGAAAAGGGAGAAAAUGCUCAGACCGAAUUCAGAUGCUUUCAUGAAUUUUACACCAGAAAUGUUUUGACAUGAAUAUUCUUGCUAGUCUCCAGCAUUUGCCAAAAGAAAUUCAACUCCGCAGGACUGCUCGGAUAUGUUCCCUAGAUGACUGUAGAGGCGCGGGGAGGCCUGGAGGCCGGGACCCGGCACCUGCGAGGCACGCGGGGCGCGGCCUGGGGAAGCGGGGGGUGGGGGCACUGGAGCCCUGGGCCUGAGGGCAGUGCCCUUGCAGAGCUCUCUGCCAUCUGGGAGGCCUGGUGUGGUACCCCGAGGCCAGGGGGCGCGCUUCCUCCCAUCCUCCCGCGGGACAGGUCCAUCACGGGGUCCAGCUAGUGAGGCCGGGCAGCCCUGAAGCUGUUAGAUGGGAGCCGGAGCCAGAGGGUUGGGGCAGUGUACAGACACCGCCGGAAGGAGCUGCACACGCACAGGAGCAGCGAGUUGCUUUUGCAGAGCUGAAUAAAGUCACUUCUGGUUCUUUUU